Long non-coding RNA from Vanessa atalanta (red admiral), 1954 nucleotides. RefSeq lists it as uncharacterized. The transcript has 2 exons. Lineage: Eukaryota; Metazoa; Arthropoda; Insecta; Lepidoptera; Nymphalidae. The record is from RefSeq and is a predicted model, not a curated record.
AAAAAAAAUUAGCGUAGAAUCGUACAAUACUUUGAGCAACGUUCAAAAAUGAAGGUCGCAUUACUUAUUUUCGUUUUCGGACUCAUGGCUCUGCAGAGCAUUAACGGCCAAUGCCUGUACUCGGGAGUCGGAGUAGCUCCAGCCGUCGUAUCUACGCCAGCUGUUGUCACUUCCAACGCAGUUGCCACUACUUUAGCGGACACUCUAUCACUCCUCACAGUCAGUAGUCUUCUGUCAGAGAAGUUGCCAUUUGGUUGUCCGAUGUGUGCGCCAGGACCAAUCACAACUGUCGCGCCAAUGGUUGGCAAUUGUGGAUGUGGAUGUGGAUGUAGCGGAUACGGUUAUCCCUAUGGUACAUAUAUUAUAUAAUUUUUGUCAUAUAAAGUUGUUGCGUAAUACGUAACAACAAAUAUAAAAUUAUUUAAAUAUAUAGCUAUGGACUUAAUUUAUAUAUUCGAAAGAUUUGAAGGUUUACUUUAAUUUAUAUAUGUAGAUUUUUAAUUAGAGAAACCCGUUGAUAUCUUAUAUUAUUUAUGUGUAUAAAUAGACUAUCGCGAUGAAAAAUAUUCUGUCCUGUCUUGGACACUAAGCACACGCACACUAGUAAAGUAAUAUGACGUUUGGCGAGUGUUAAGCGUAGCUGUCACGCACACUAAGAUAAUAAAUAUGACUCGUUUGUUUUAGUUAUUUUGUAGUGCGUUACAUUAUUUAGAUAUAUAUAUGAACAGACAAAGAAAAAACAAUCUUUUUCUCAUAUUUAAUGUGAAUCUAUUACAUUUUACUUGGUAUCUCAUUCGUAAAAUGUCGACAGCUGACUUAAGAUGUUACGCCAUUUUGUUUUUUUAUUUUUGGUUUGGCUUUUAUUUUUGCAACGCCAUUUUGUUAUGUGUAUCCUAUAAAUUUUAUAAUUGUCACUGUCAAUGUCAAUGUCACACGACAUUGAAAUUUCACGCUCUUGUUCUCAGCUGAGAUUUGAGUUUCUUCUUAUGGAAUAUAAUUGUUUGGUAGUUGUAGUUGUGGAACAAAAUCACGCACAUGCAAAUUCAAGUUUGAAAUUAAUUUCAAUAUUGAUUAUUAUUGAAUGAAUAACGUUGAACGAAAACUAAGUCGUUUAAUUAUACAACAAUAAUAUACGUCUCGUAUCCUGUUAAAUUCAAUGGACUUAAGUAACCAAAUUAUUUAUAUAGUGAUGGCAUUCACUUUUUUAUAUUUUACAUCAAUGUAAAACCUUAAAACAUAUUAUUUAUAUAUCUAUAGUAUACUGUAUUGUUAACACCAAAGAUGUGCCCAAAAUUCCAUCCUUUUCUGCUUCAGUCAUCUGUUUAACCAGCGAUCGUCGUGCGGUUUUCCAAGCCGAUGUAACUCGGGAAACUUUAAAAAAAUAACUUGAUCAUUUUGCCUUCCUAUGUUACGGUAUCGAUGUGCGGUGUACGAUCGAUGUACGGUAGGUAUUGCCAUACAUAAAAUAGCAGAUUUAGUUAGAACGAACCGGUAAAGUUAAAUAAAGGCUUGUAAAGAACCUGUUUAAACUUCAAAGUCACAUGAACGACUUCUACCAAGUUAUUAUAUUGAAGAAACGAUUCGUUUUGUUUACGGACAGUAUUGUCUAAGAGGCGUAAUUCAGAAACUACAAAUAGAGAGGUAAAGAGAAGUAUCUGAUAUAGAAUUAAAUUAUUUGCCUCCGCCUACGAAUUUCAUAAAAAAAAAAACAUUUUUUAGACAUAAAUAUACUUCUCCUUACCUCUACGUAUUGUUGUUGUUGUUACUGGCUUAUUUCUUGAGGAUCAAAUGUAUUAAUCUGUAAAUGUAUGAAAACCACAUAUACAAGUACAAAUAAAAAAAAAACAUUCAACAAUUUCACCAUCCGUAAGCAAAACAAUUCGUUUCUCGAAAAUAGUAACACGUAGAAGUUACAAUAAUGGUGUCUUGUAAUGUUAUGAUCACACUAAUGCAA